Molecule: ribosomal RNA, 801 nt
Filed under: uncultured Rubrobacter sp.
Lineage: Bacteria; Bacillati; Actinomycetota; Rubrobacteria; Rubrobacterales; Rubrobacteraceae
Description: bacterial SSU rRNA
Rfam family: Bacterial small subunit ribosomal RNA
Source: RNAcentral
AGAGUUUGAUCAUGGCUCAGGACGAACGCUGACGGUGUGCUUUAGGCAUGCAAGUCGAACGAGAAAGCCCUUCGGGGUGAGUAAAGUGGCGAACGGGUGAGUAACACGUGGGCAACCUGCCCCUCGCAGGGGGACAACCGGAGGAAACUCCGGCUAAUACCCCGUACGCUUGUUGGAUCGCAUGGUCCGGCAAGGAAAGGUAGCUUCGGCCAUCCGGCGAGGGAUGGGCCCGCGUUGCAUUAGCUAGUUGGUGGGGUAACGGCCUACCAAGGCGACGAUGCGUAGCUGGUCUGAGAGGAUGAUCAGCCACACUGGGACUGAGACACGGCCCAGACUCCUACGGGAGGCAGCAGCCAGGAAUCUUGGGCAAUGGGCGAAAGCCUGACCCAGCAACACCGUGUGGGCGAUGAAGGCCUUAGGGUCGUAAAGCCCUGUUGAUAGGGACGAAGGGCGAAGGGUUAAUAGCCCCUAGCUUGACGGUACCUUUCGAGGAAGCCCCGGCUAACUACGUGCCAGCAGCCGCGGUAAUACGUAGGGGGCGAGCGUUGUCCGGAAUUAUUGGGCGUAAAGAGCGUGUAGGCGGUUCGGUAAGUCUGCUGUGAAAUCCUGGGGCUCAACCCUGGGCGUGCAGCGGAUACUGCCGGGCUAGAGGGUGGUAGAGGCGAGUGGAAUUCCGAGUGUAGCGGUGAAAUGCGCAGAUAUUCGGAGGAACACCAGUAGCGAAGGCGGCUCGCUGGGCCACACCUGACGCUGAGACGCGAAAGCGUGGGGAGCGAACAGGAUUAGAUACCCCAGUAGUCC